UACGUAGGUGGCGAGCGUUGUCCGGAAUUACUGGGCGUAAAGGGCGCGUAGGCGGUUUACUAAGUCAGAUGUGAAAACCCCGGGCUCAACCUGGGGAUUGCAUUUGAAACUGGUAGGCUAGAGUGUCGGAGAGGAAGGCGGAAUUCCUAGUGUAGCGGUGAAAUGCGUAGAUAUUAGGAGGAACACCAGUGGCGAAGGCGGCUUUCUGGACGAUAACUGACGCUGAGGCGCGAAAGCGUGGGGAGCAAACAGG
Molecule: ribosomal RNA, 253 nt
Filed under: uncultured bacterium
Lineage: Bacteria
Description: partial 16S ribosomal RNA
Rfam family: Bacterial small subunit ribosomal RNA
Source: RNAcentral